AAUGACUCAAAAUAUUAAUCUAAAAUAUAUUUGGGCCUAUUAAGACCUCAAUGCAAGCAAGAUCAACUAAAAUCCAUUGUCAGGGUCUCAAAUCCGACUUACGUUCAUUAUAUUAAAUGCCCAAUGCAGAUAAAGUCCACGUGUCCCCUCUUAAAUCGGCUCAGAUUGGAUCCCGUUACUAGUUAGAUAUAUGGUAAUGAGUACUCAGGACAGCGUGAGAAGCCCCUUCCCAUUCCUCACUCCUAUUUUAAAAAAAAUGCCCACAUUCCUUCUCUGUCAUUGUAAGUUCCUGUUUAAUUACCCUUAGGGAACGCAUAUCUCCUCGAGUAUCUACGAAUAUUCU
This 343-nucleotide long non-coding RNA is filed under the name Arachis ipaensis. RNAcentral's name for it is "long non-coding RNA (AIPA_LNC000860)". Lineage: Eukaryota; Viridiplantae; Streptophyta; Magnoliopsida; Fabales; Fabaceae. The record is from RNAcentral.